CCUACGGGAGGCAGCAGUGGGGAAUAUUGGGCCAUGGAGGCAACUCUUACCCCGCAAUGCCGCGUGAAUGAAGACGGUCUUCGGAUUGUAAAGUUCUUUAAUUGGGGACGAAAAAAAUGACGGUACCCAAGGAAUAAGCCCCGGCUAACUACGUGCCAGCAGCCGCGGUAAUACGUAGGGGGCGAGCGUUAUCCGGAUUUAUUGGGUUUAAAGGGUGCGCAGGCGGCCUGUUAAGUCAGCGGUAAAAGCCCGGGGCUCAACCCCGGCGAGCCGUUGAAACUGGCGGGCUGGAGUUGGAGAGAAGUACGCGGAAUGCGCGGUGUAGCGGUGAAAUGCUUAGAUAUCGCGCAGAACCCCGAUUGCGAAGGCAGCGUACCGGCUCCACACUGACGCUGAGGCACGAAAGCGUGGGUAUCGAACAGGAUUAGAUACCCGAGUAGUC
RNAcentral lists this ribosomal RNA (442 nucleotides) under uncultured bacterium. Its description in RNAcentral is "partial 16S ribosomal RNA". It matches the Rfam family "Bacterial small subunit ribosomal RNA", at positions 338 to 795 of the family's 1533-position model. The record is from RNAcentral.